GUCAGGAUGGCGAGCGGUCCAAGGCGCUGCGUUCAGGUCGCAGUCCGGUCUUCCGGGCGUGGGUUCGAAUCCCACUUCUGACA
Molecule: transfer RNA, 83 nt
Filed under: Rhipicephalus microplus (southern cattle tick)
Lineage: Eukaryota; Metazoa; Arthropoda; Arachnida; Ixodida; Ixodidae
Description: tRNA-Leu
Rfam family: tRNA
About the family: Transfer RNA (tRNA) molecules are approximately 80 nucleotides in length. Their secondary structure includes four short double-helical elements and three loops (D, anti-codon, and T loops).
Source: Rfam by way of RNAcentral